GAUGAACGCUGGCGGCGUGCCUAAUACAUGCAAGUCGAGCGAACGGACGAGAAGCUUGCUUCUCUGAUGUUAGCGGCGGACGGGUGAGUAACACGUGGAUAACCUACCUAUAAGACUGGGAUAACUUCGGGAAACCGGAGCUAAUACCGGAUGAUAUUUUGAACCGCAUGGUUCAAAAGUGAAAGACGGUCUUGCUGUCACUUAUAGAUGGAUCCGCGCUGCAUUAGCUAGUUGGUAAGGUAACGGCUUACCAAGGCAACGAUGCAUAGCCGACCUGAAAGGGUGAUCGGCCACACUGGAACUGAGACACGGUCCAGACUCCUACGGGAGGCGGCAGUAGGGAAUCUUCCGCAAUGGGCGAAAGCCUGACGGAGCAACGCCGCGUGAGUGAUGAAGGUCUUCGGAUCGUAAAACUCUGUUAUUAGGGAAGAACAUAUGUGUAAGUAACUGUGCACAUCUUGACGGUACCUAAUCAGAAAGCCACGGCUAACUACGUG
Molecule: ribosomal RNA, 497 nt
Filed under: uncultured bacterium
Lineage: Bacteria
Description: partial 16S ribosomal RNA
Rfam family: Bacterial small subunit ribosomal RNA
Source: RNAcentral